Molecule: non-coding RNA, 270 nt
Organism: Bactrocera oleae (olive fruit fly)
Lineage: Eukaryota; Metazoa; Arthropoda; Insecta; Diptera; Tephritidae
Source: RefSeq, a predicted model, not a curated record
CUCAGAAAGCAAAGAGAGGAGUUUCGGAUCAUUUUAUCUAUCUUGCUUGCUAUUUUGGCGCGAAGAUUACAAAUCCUUGAGCGGAAAGUGCAGAAUUCUGUAACCAUGGAUAAUCUAUGUCUGUAACUUAGCUGUAGCUGGAGUUGGACAUAUUCUUGUGAAAAAAACACUGAAGAAAUGUAACAGUCACAAUUUCUUUUACGCAGCGAUCUGCUGGUAUGGACGAAAAUAGGAGAUCGUCGAUCUCCUUUUCGCACUAGCGAUCUUCGA